AUAUCACUUUGAGAAACCGGUUCUCAUACGAUCACCGAAGUCAAGCAACGUUGAGCCUGAUCAGUAUCUAGAUGGGUGACGACUUGGAAAAAUACCAGGUACUGUA
Acanthosepion pharaonis is the source of this 106-nucleotide non-coding RNA. The record is from the annotation of a GenBank genome assembly. Lineage: Eukaryota; Metazoa; Mollusca; Cephalopoda; Sepiida; Sepiidae.